UCAGCACAGGAGCAGCCUCAGCAAGAAGUUUAAACUCAGAGAAUUCAACUGGCAAAAGAAGAUACGCAGAGGAAUAAGAUUCCGUUUCUGCCAACUGUGGUGUCGUUGACAAAUUACAAUCUUGCUGUUCGAAGAAAUCACGUGAAUAGCAAAACAGCUCUUCCUGGAAGUCAGCCAAGGGAUCUACACAGUUACAGCUCAAUUCACACUUGAUGCUCUGAAGAUCCUGUGAUGCAAGAUGUUUAGAGGUAUAAUCUCUAUUUAUGAUAAAUCCCUAACUCUAUCCUUUUGUUCCCAGCCUGUCCAAAUAUCCAUCUUUAAUUUACCUUUGUCCUGAGUGGUUUUAUAUUUGUUCCCAUAAUGACAGUUCAAAUUUUAUGAAACAUCUCUGAAUGUUUCACAGUUAAAAAAAAAAAAAAAAAAAAAAAAAAAAAAAGAAAAAAAAUAUUACAACAGUAAGCAUCAUAUGCACAUACUCAGAUAUUCAGACAUAAAACUUAUGAACAAAGUUCAAUCUAGGGGAAAAAUACUGUGAGAUUUCUUAAACUUGGAAGGUGCCAGUUUGCUUUAUGCAUAUGUAGUAGUACCUGAUAUAGAGAUAAUGGUAUCAAAGAAGGAGAAGGAGAAGCUGUGGAGCACAGCAGUUCAGCUACAAUUGUUGAUAUUUUUCACUUUUAAUUACAGAAUUCAUCUGAAAACAAGCCCAAAACACAAGCCAUCAUAUAGGAAGUUUUUUCAUUCACUAAACAACAUAGUAAAAAUUGAGCUUUUGCCACCAGUUUUAGAGAGGCAGAAGGGACGCUUCCAAGAAUGCAAUCCCCUUCUCUCUUCUCCUAUUCUUUUUGUUCUCCUAUACAAUUUGUUUCUUCUGCUCUGCUAAAUUAAAAAAAGAUAGCUUUAAAACUAUAGCUAAUAUUUGUUCUGACUAGCUAAACUGAUACAGCUAGUUAACUUGUCUGAUGAUUUCUUUAACACAGACAACUUUUGGUACAGUAUUAAAGAUGCAUGAUUGUAUAAAUUGGUACAUUAAAAAAAUAUAUAAAUAAACUAAAAAACUUAUUCUGUAUUGCUGUUAACAAAUUUGGUCAAGUUGUCCAAGAAAAUAAGGUGUUUUGUUUUCAGUGCUUAGGAUGUUUCCAUUGCUUUCUCUAACAGGGUACUGUGCAAGGGCUCAGAGGACUUGUUCACUUCCUGGCACUUCCAGACUCUGCUGGAUACCCUGUCCAAGGCUAAGUUCCGCUGUCUGUCUGCCUUUGUCAUCUUCUCUGUGAGAAAACAGAGAGUACACAACCAUACCCUGGUAAAGCACUUUAAGGUACGCAUUAGUACUUUAGAACCACAUCAGCACUUCAUAAUAUCUAACAAAAAUAUAUCUUCAGUAAAAUAAA
Long non-coding RNA from Oxyura jamaicensis (ruddy duck), 1388 nucleotides. RefSeq lists it as uncharacterized. The record is from RefSeq and is a predicted model, not a curated record. The transcript is spliced from 2 exons. NCBI's taxonomy places the organism in Eukaryota, Metazoa, Chordata, Aves, Anseriformes, Anatidae.